GACGAACGCUGGCGGCGUGCUUAACACAUGCAAGUCGAACGGAAAGGCCCUGCUUUUGUGGGGUGCUCGAGUGGCGAACGGGUGAGUAACACGUGAGUAACCUGCCCUUGACUUUGGGAUAACUUCAGGAAACUGGGGCUAAUACCGGAUAGGAGCUCCUGCUGCAUGGUGGGGGUUGGAAAGUUUCGGCGGUUGGGGAUGGACUCGCGGCUUAUCAGCUUGUUGGUGGGGUAGUGGCUUACCAAGGCUUUGACGGGUAGCCGGCCUGAGGGGGUGACCGGGCAUCAUGGGUACUGAGAGAGGGCGCAGACGCGAAGGUGGGGAAGAGGGGGGAAUGAUUGCAGAGGGGGGGGACGUGUGAGGCACAGGCCCGGGGGGCGGGAGGACGGCUUGGGGGGUAAAAACAGCUUUCGCCGGGGACGAAGAGGAGGUGACGGUAAUGGGAAAAGAAGCACCGGCUAACUACGUG
Molecule: ribosomal RNA, 469 nt
Filed under: uncultured bacterium
Lineage: Bacteria
Description: partial 16S ribosomal RNA
Rfam family: Bacterial small subunit ribosomal RNA
Source: RNAcentral